GAGACGCUGGCGGCGUGCCUAACACAUGCAAGUUCGAGCGGGGUUGAAGCGAGGGGUAACUCGAGUUUCUACCUAGCGGCGGACGGGUGAGUAACGCGUGGGCAACCUGCCUCAAGGACUGGGAUAACAGCUCGAAAGGGCUGCUAAUACCGGAUAAGCCUAUGGCCUGCAUGGGGCCAUGAGCAAGGGAAACCCGCCUUGAGAUGGCCCGCGUCCCAUCAGCUAGUUGGUGAGGUGAAGGCUCACCAAGGCGACGACGGGUAGCCGGCCUGAGAGGGUGACCGGCCACACUGGGACUGAGACACGGCCCAGACUCCUACGGGGGGCAGCAGUGGGGAAUCUUGCACAAUGGGCGAAAGCCUGAUGCAGCGACGCCGCGUGAGCGAAGAAGGCCUUCGGGUUGUAAAGCUCUGUCUGGAGGGACGAAGGAAGUGACGGUACCUCCGGAGGAAGCCACGGCUAACUACGUG
This 470-nucleotide ribosomal RNA is filed under the name uncultured bacterium. Its description in RNAcentral is "bacterial SSU rRNA". It matches the Rfam family "Bacterial small subunit ribosomal RNA", at positions 33 to 507 of the family's 1533-position model. The record is from RNAcentral.